This 216-nucleotide unclassified non-coding RNA is filed under the name plant metagenome. Its description in RNAcentral is "partial contains small subunit ribosomal RNA, internal transcribed spacer 1, and 5.8S ribosomal RNA". The record is from RNAcentral.
UCUCCGUUGGUGAACCAGCGGAGGGAUCAUUACCGAGUUUACAACUCCCAAACCCCUGUGAACAUACCUAUUGUUGCUUCGGCGGGAUCGCCCCGGCGCCCUCGGGCCCGGACCCAGGCGCCCGCCGGAGGACCCAAACUCUUGUCUUUCAUGAGUAUCUUCUGAGUAACAUAAGCAAAUAAAUUAAAACUUUCAACAACGGAUCUCUUGGUUCUG